RNAcentral lists this ribosomal RNA (200 nucleotides) under uncultured bacterium. RNAcentral describes it as "partial 16S ribosomal RNA". It matches the Rfam family "Bacterial small subunit ribosomal RNA", at positions 28 to 226 of the family's 1533-position model. The record is from RNAcentral.
GAUGAACGCUAGCGGCAGGCUUAAUACAUGCAAGUCGAACGGUAAAUAUUGUAGCAAUACGAUAUGAGAGCGACGCACGGGUGCGUAACACGUAUGCAACCUACCCUUUACAGGAGUAUAGCUCGGGGAAACUCGAAUUAACACUUCAUAGUAUAAUUGAAUGGCAUCAUUUGAUUAUUAAAUCUGAGGAGGUAAAGGAU